RNAcentral lists this ribosomal RNA (253 nucleotides) under uncultured bacterium. RNAcentral's name for it is "partial 16S ribosomal RNA". It matches the Rfam family "Bacterial small subunit ribosomal RNA", at positions 524 to 776 of the family's 1533-position model. The record is from RNAcentral.
UACAGAGGAUGCAAGCGUUAUCCGGAAUGAUUGGGCGUAAAGCGUCUGUAGGUGGCUUUUUAAGUCCGCCGUCAAAUCCCAGGGCUCAACUCUGGACAGGCGGUGGAAACUACCAAGCUGGAGUACGGUAGGGGCAGAGGGAAUUUCCGGUGGAGCGGUGAAAUGCGCAGAUAUCGGGAGGAACACCGGUGGCGAAGGCGGGUCUCUGGGCCGUUACUGACGCUGAGGAGCGAAAGCGUGGGGAGCGAACAGG